This is a long non-coding RNA of Ficedula albicollis (Collared flycatcher), 1758 nucleotides long. The record is from Ensembl. Lineage: Eukaryota; Metazoa; Chordata; Aves; Passeriformes; Muscicapidae.
ACAGAUAGGAACUCAGUCUCCUUGAGAUCAUUGCUUAUGUUUUUGUGCUCCCUGAAGUGAUGUUUGGGAGCUGCAAUCACCUGUCUUUGUUUUUCAAUCCAAAAAAGGAUGAAUAAUAAGAGAAAAUAAGAUGUCAGAAAAGAGGAGGAACUUCUCUAGGAACCUCUAUAUACCUAACCCAUCCAUUUCUCCUCAGCUGAUUUUCUAAGGAGAGCAUAUGGGUCUCCCUUCAUCACCUCUGUAACUGCAAAACUUCGUGGCUGACCUCAGUUAAAGGAUGGAGGAAGAAAAGAAACUUCAAAAAUAUUAAAUUCUUGUAUCUUAAAUGAAAUUUAGGUGCAGGUGAGAAGAGAGAUGUCUUUAAUAUUCUGGCUGAGGAAAGGGACUACAUGUCUCAUCCUCAGACAGGGAAAAUCUGUAAGUUAAUGAAUGAGACUUUAUCACUGUGUUUGCUGCAGAAAAGUUACACCAAAAACCCCGGUCCAGCCUGAGAUGCUAACCUGGACUGAACCUUGUGCUCAGAAGACAGAGGGUCCUUUCCAAAAGGAAGAAUAUAAGUGGUUGGCAUUCUGAAAGAAACUACUGCUGGGCAACUUCACAGGUUUUUUUCAAAAAUGGAUUUUUGCUGUAAAGAAUCUGAUUGAAACACCCACACGAAAGCAAGAACAGAAGUCCUGAAUGAUUUUUGUUUGGAGAGAAUAUCAAUGAUAGCAACUGCACAAACUAAUUUGGAAUCCACAAGGGUCAACAUUAUGUGUGUAUGAGAAGGCCAAAACAGGCAAUGCAAUUAUAAUCUGAGUGGUGUAUUAGUCAUUUGCAAUAUAUUGCUUAGAAAACCUAUCUUACAGCCCAGUAAGGAAAACACACCUCUUCCAGGAACAAGUCAGUCCUGCUUUGUCUCUUUUCUUUCCUGUAAGAAUGGAACAUUUCUCUAGCAGAUCUGUAGAAAACAGAAGUGUGAUUCACCUAGCCAAGCCAAGUCUGUGACUUCAUAUUUAUUAUAAAGCAAAGACUAACUUUCUGCCUUUAUUCAUCUAUACAGUCUUCAUAGGGUGUACAUUUAGCAGAAUUUUAGAAAUUACAGUUAACUAGGUCUAUGAAACAGAUAUUCAAGAUAUGGCAUGAAAAAAUGCAAUAACUAUGAACAUAGACCCUCAAACCAGCAAUAUGCUAAUAUUUCUAUUUUAGCAUUUACAGAUAUUCCCACAAUUUUCAACAAUUUUAUGUUACUGUAUUUGUUUGCUGAAUGCACAUUGUAUUAAUUAUAUGACCACAGAAUUACUGAAUACAAUUUUGUAUGCAGAAUUAAUAAAACACAUGAAAAAAACUUUCACAUUCUAUUAGUGAUUAAUAAGAUAAAAUAAGAAUAUUGCACGAAAAGAUAUACAUUUGCCAAAUAAAAUAUAUAUAUAUAUAUAUAUGUUAAUUUGACCAGAAUUUCUUUUACUGCAUGCUCACACUAAGAAAACAGGAAAUAUAUUGAGACAAGCACUCUGGGAUGGGAUUCAUCUGCUUGCAUGUAGACACUAGUAAUUCAUAUUCUUUUGACUGUAAUAGUGAAGAAAUUGAAAAAAAGAUUUCUGGGAUAUGAUUAAUCCUUUUUAAAGAUAGUCAUCUAAAAAAUAGACAUCUAAAAUAGAUCAUAUUGAUUCUCACCCUUUUAAAGCUUGUAUAUGGCUGAAGAGGAGAAAGGAUGAAGUCUUGCCUUCCUUCAAGCCAAAGGUAAAAAUGCUUUUAUUUUAUUAAUGUGAAUAUUUC